This 529-nucleotide ribosomal RNA is filed under the name Bacillus paramycoides. RNAcentral's name for it is "bacterial SSU rRNA". It matches the Rfam family "Bacterial small subunit ribosomal RNA", at positions 400 to 919 of the family's 1533-position model. Lineage: Bacteria; Bacillati; Bacillota; Bacilli; Caryophanales; Bacillaceae. The record is from RNAcentral.
CGUGAGUGAUGAAGGCUUUCGGGUCGUAAAACUCUGUUGUUAGGGAAGAACAAGUGCUAGUUGAAUAAGCUGGCACCUUGACGGUACCUAACCAGAAAGCCACGGCUAACUACGUGCCAGCAGCCGCGGUAAUACGUAGGUGGCAAGCGUUAUCCGGAAUUAUUGGGCGUAAAGCGCGCGCAGGUGGUUUCUUAAGUCUGAUGUGAAAGCCCACGGCUCAACCGUGGAGGGUCAUUGGAAACUGGGAGACUUGAGUGCAGAAGAGGAAAGUGGAAUUCCAUGUGUAGCGGUGAAAUGCGUAGAGAUAUGGAGGAACACCAGUGGCGAAGGCGACUUUCUGGUCUGUAACUGACACUGAGGCGCGAAAGCGUGGGGAGCAAACAGGAUUAGAUACCCUGGUAGUCCACGCCGUAAACGAUGAGUGCUAAGUGUUAGAGGGUUUCCGCCCUUUAGUGCUGAAGUUAACGCAUUAAGCACUCCGCCUGGGGAGUACGGCCGCAAGGCUGAAACUCAAAGGAAUUGACGGGGA